Long non-coding RNA from Mesocricetus auratus (golden hamster), 2059 nucleotides. RefSeq lists it as uncharacterized. The record is from RefSeq and is a predicted model, not a curated record. NCBI's taxonomy places the organism in Eukaryota, Metazoa, Chordata, Mammalia, Rodentia, Cricetidae. The transcript is spliced from 2 exons.
UGCAAGAACUGGGGCAGAUUUAUGAGUUGUGUCCUGUUUGAAUGGAAAUAGACAUAAGACCUAGAAGCUCCGAUUCUAAGCUGAACAUGCACAGUGUCUUGUCUUGAUAAUACACAGAGGACUCAUGGACCCUGUGCCCUCUGGGAAGGGCUGGCUGGCUGGCUUGGGAACCAGUGGGAUUUGAGUAAUCAAGUUCCCUGGGAAGAAAAGAGAAGUGGGCGAGGUUGUGUACCUCAAAGAGGACCUGCAAUACACACUAUUGCAUCAACUAUUAUCUAAGGGUGAGUGAAGAAGGGACAUGGCCAGAUUUUACCUCAAGGAUAUCCUGAGCUGGAAGCUUAUGGUAUAGGGAGGGCAGCUAGCUUUGGAGUCUGAGGGGCGGGUGUGACCAGAAUCUAUCUCAGGCCUGUCAAUGCCUUGAGCCUCAGGAUUCCUCUUAAGGCCAGUGUGACUAAGGCUGCCUGGACCACUCGGAGCUGCUAUAGCAUCAGAACAAUGUAAUUGCCCGGCACAUUACAGAUGCACCAGGGCUGGUUGCCCAUCAUAUUUGCUCAGGGCAAGGGAGGCGGAGCAUCUCUUAGAGUAAGCCUUCGGGGAGAGGACCAACAACAAGUGGGAGAAAGCAUCUCCCCUUUCAGGGUCUUGUGCUUUCAGCGAUGGUGACGGAACCCUGGGCCUUGUGGAUGCCACACAGUGUUUUGCCAAUGUCCUCUCUCCAGUCUUGAUAUCCCAACAGCAUGAAAUCACCAAAGACGGCAGAAGAAUAGGUAGAGACACCUACUAAAGGAGUGGCAGACCCCUGGGAUGCCCACUUGAGUUUUUCCAGUGGUCUGACCUCAACGUCAGGAGCUGGAUUCAGUUCUGACGUGAUGUUGAGUCUGAAGAGCAGAACUCGCUCCUCACUAACAAACAGAACCUGCCCAUCAAGUGCCAAGAUGCUACGGCCCCAAAUUCUUCAUCAGGCCCAUUUUCUCUACCAAAUCCCUGCCCGUGUAAGCAUUUUCAGAACUGUGUGUCCUAUCCACCGUGCCCGCAUCCGGCCUGAGUAGAAAGCUUUGGAGUGUGAACCCAGGCUGAAGAAGGCAAAGGCUGUGAGCAUGCUACCUGCAUUGAGGCAGUCACACCAACAGCCAGACCAAAGGGAGCUCGGAACGUCUGCUACAAAGAGGUGCAGCAAACUAAGCUCCCAGGCUACAACGGAGAGACAAUGAGUAGUCCGGAGAGCUCCAGGGUGAACGAAUGCCUGAGGUAAAGACACUAAUGAAGGACAGGCAAGAUUAGUCUGAGCUGCUGGAGGGCAGCAACAGCCCUUCUCUCUAGAAGAAAGCUGACUUAACGGCUGGGCUCACACUAUUAAAACAAAGGAAGGGAUCUGUCUGAUUUUUGCCAAUGGGUGACAUUACAGUAGCCUCGUGGGUGUGACUGACAUAGAUUUAUUACUUUGUGUGGUGACUGAGUGAAUGGAGCUACAAUAAGUGAUUCACGCUGCAUUUGCUCCAGCUCAGCCUUACGCCUUCCAAGGCACGCGGGACAGACUGCUGUUCCCAGCCAGGAUCCGAAGCUGUCUGGUUGGACGCCUUUCCUUUUCAGUCAAGAAUGCACUGUCUGGAGAACUUGUGCCCCAGAAGAAUGGAGAUGUGGGGUUUGUGCACAGGGAAUACUUCCUAAAAGUUGUUGUUUUUUCAAGUGAAAUUUCAAGCUCUAACUUACAGAAUUGUUAUUGUCCUCUUUUGCAAUUUAGCAAGUGUUAGCAAUUCCCUUUGGGCGAUCUCUGCUUAACAGCUGGCUACAUUUCUUAAUUUUACCAAACUCCUCAAACAUUUUAAACUGUACUGACAUUUACUGUUUAAUUUCCUAACCUCCUCAGUUGCUUCAAUCAAUUCAAACAAACCCCAUUAUAAAAAGAAAUAAUUCUUAUAAAUACAACAAAUUAAAGUUCAAAAACAGUCGGCCUUAGGUUCUCAAAUGCUUACAUGUUGUUUAUGAAUAUAUUAAGUGUCAACUUCUAAUGUAGUGUGCAUAUGAUCAAAGCAUAUUAUAUAGACACAUGAAAAUGUCA